This 662-nucleotide ribosomal RNA is filed under the name Haliotrematoides gracilihamus. RNAcentral's name for it is "partial 28S ribosomal RNA". It matches the Rfam family "Eukaryotic large subunit ribosomal RNA", at positions 82 to 618 of the family's 3401-position model. Lineage: Eukaryota; Metazoa; Platyhelminthes; Monogenea; Dactylogyridea; Ancyrocephalidae. The record is from RNAcentral.
AGUAACGGCGAGUGAACGGGGAUUAGCCCAUCACCGAAGCCCGCGUGUUCUUGCAUGCAGGGCAAUGUGGUGUUAAGGCUUGCACCUGGGACUGUGAACCUACCAAAAGUCCAGCUCCGAUUCUGGCUCAUUGUUUUCCAAAGCGGGUGAAAGACCCGUGAUGGUAGGUAUGUUGAUCGUAGCAGUCCUCAGAUGUGCAUGCCUACGAGUCGGAUUGCUUGAGAAUGCAGUCCAAAGUGGGUGGUAAACUCCAUCCAAGGCUAAAUACUGGCAUGAGUCCGAUAGUAGACAAGUACCGUGAGGGAAAGUUGAAAAGUACUCUGAAGAGAGAGUAAAUAGUACGUGAAGCCGAUUGCAGGGAAGCUGGUGGAGUCAAGCUUCAUGCUUGGGGGAUUUUUGUCCGGAGAAACAGUGUGCUGUGCAUUCUUGUUGGUCAACUUGGAAUAAGUUGGGUGCAUUCGUGCGCUUCAAGUCAUUCUGGGCUGUGUGUUUGUAACCAAUGAUUAUGUGCUGCUCUUGGCAAUCUAUCCUUCGCUGCAUAAAUCACAGUCGAUGUUUGAGUGCUGCAUGUUUAUCUAACUGUACUCUGAUAGGCCUAGAGUCUCUCGGGUAUGGAAGGGCAGGUUUGUCCGAUGGCCUUGUGCCAUUGUGUCAACGAAGAC